This is a non-coding RNA of Manis javanica (Malayan pangolin), 344 nucleotides long. The record is from RefSeq and is a predicted model, not a curated record. NCBI's taxonomy places the organism in Eukaryota, Metazoa, Chordata, Mammalia, Pholidota, Manidae.
AUCAGCCGUCGCCCGAGCGGUGGCGCGCGGGUGGCCAAAAGACGAAAAUAAGAUUUCUAGGGCUGGAUUCCGGGCCUCCGCGGGAGGGCAUGCUGGAGAGGAGCGGCCCCGGGUCGGGUGGGAAGCUGGGGCGGAAACGCGGCCCAGUCGCUGUUAGCUGGACGCCGGGGCCGCAGAUCCCGGAGGUGGGGCCUCAUUGUCGAGUGAAAACUGGUGGCAAAGACUUCACUAGGCAUUCAUGAAACUUGAUUUCUGGAUAUAUAGCUAGACCAAAUUUCCCAAUUUCCUUUGCACUUAGUUGUAGCCAUGUGAUUGACUUUUAACCAAUAAAAUGUGAAUGGAAA